Camelus dromedarius (Arabian camel) is the source of this 3109-nucleotide long non-coding RNA. RefSeq lists it as uncharacterized. The transcript is spliced from 2 exons. The record is from RefSeq and is a predicted model, not a curated record. NCBI's taxonomy places the organism in Eukaryota, Metazoa, Chordata, Mammalia, Artiodactyla, Camelidae.
CCGGCGCUGUUACAGAAUGCCCUGCGCGCCAAGACGCCUCAAAAGGCUCUUGGCUCCUCCUGCCUGCAGGCGGCGCUGUGGAAGCCGAGUCCCCGCGCAAAAAAGGCAACGUUCCCAGAAUGCCCUGCGUGUUCCCAUGGCGACGGCCGCGCGGAGCUGACAGAUGCAGGCAGCACCCCGAGCUGCUUCUCGGACACUGUGGUCCUCAUGCGCGGCACAGAGGCGGCGGUGGCGCCUCAGGAAAGGGUACCCCGAGUCCAAGGAGGCCUGGAAUCCCAGAGGCGGGCUCAGCGGCCCCGCCCCGGGUCUCGGGCUACGCAGACGCUGCAAGUGGCAUCAGGUGUGAGCGGUGACACCUUGGCCCGGCAGAGGGGCGGUCCGCGGUCUCAGAAGGACGAAGCCUGCUGGGCCCGAGCCUGGCCCGGAGGAGGCGCCGUCGGGAUGCUCGGACUGACUGAAAUCUGCAGCUCUAGCCCAGCAGUCCAACCCGAGCUCAACCGCUUGGGCCCAGAGAGGGCCGUGCAGGGAAAUCUGUGCGCUCAGGCCUGGACGCUAAGUUCCUUGAAGCUGACUGAAGUUUUUAAAUCUUUGUUACCCAUGCAGCGUGUGGCCCCAGUGGGCCCUCUACGAACGCUUGUUGAAUCAAUGAAUUAAUGAAUGAAGAAGCCCUAUGCAUAACCACUGAUUUUACAGUCAGCCCAGGGCUUUCUGAGUGAUGCUGUUUCUCUGAAGCUCAUCUUGCAUGCUGGGAAUACUACUGUACUUUUGCAGGUGAAGAUUCAGCAGUGAUUGACUGAGUCAUCCACGUAGUGGUGAAAGAGUAGACGGAAGAUCAUUCCCUUGGAAUUUCCCUGCUGACAGUGCUGACUGUCAAAGGGGAGUAGAAAAUGUCACCUAUGAGAGGAGAAAACUAGCUGUACUUUUGCUAUUUGAAAAUUAUGUCAUCACUUCCUUAUUCUAUGAGAAUGACUUACAUAGGGGAAAGAAGCAGCCUCUUUCCUGGUGGAUAUGAAUGAGGAAGGAUGUAGCCGUAAGAACUGCUGAACCAACACACGGAAGCAGCACUGAGAGAUCGGGAAACCUCAUCCUGUUAACACUGCUGGAGCCCUGUGUUAAGGGCUGUGAAGAGCAUCCGCGUUUGGCUGUUUUGGGGGUAAGUAAGGAGUUGGAGCACUGACAUUUGAGUCCGUGCAUUGAGGGGACAUGAAUUCCUUUCCUUAGUCUUCUUGUCAUAGUGGCUGCGUUGGGGUUUGGGAAAUGGAAAGGACUGAAGUAGAAAAUAGAGCUCAUUGCUCUUCUAGACAGGACUCAAGAUGUUGUUUUGUUCACUGAUCGAUUUAUAAAUCAAAAAUAGAACAAAACCCCUAAGAUGUGACUAAGACUUCAUCUCUAGAGAUAAAUCGAAGGUAUGUUUCCCUUUCGAAGAGAAUGGGUGCUUUUCAUAAAUAUAUAAUGUCUACUAUAUAUACUACAUAUUAUAUGUAUCAUGGUGAAAAUUGUAACUGCCAUUUGGAAGCAUGGACAUGGGCUGUUUUUUGUUUUGGUUUUGGUUUUUAAUGCUUGGUGUAUAUGAGAUUGAUGCCUGAAAAGUUAAAACAGUCAGUAAAGCAUUGAAGUUCAGUACAUCACAUCAUAAAAGAGGAUUCUGCAGAGCAUUGUAUGGGUUUCACUUCUGGCUUUUGUUCUCAGGGAGCAAAUAAACCAAGACUUGUACAGAUCACUAGCUUUGUAAUUGUACCUCACGAAAGAGUUACCUUUGAGAGUACACAGUAAUCUCCCCUAGUCUACAAAUAAAAGACAUCGGCUUCUUCACUGGUUUAAUGAGAUUCCUAAACUCUAAACCAGACAAAUAAUACAUAAGACAAGGGAAGUUUUAAGGGUAUUGCAUCUUUGUUUUGGUUCUAUAGAUAACAAGGUAAAACUAUGAAGUCCUAAAGUGGGCCUUAAAGUGCCACGUAACAGAUUCCCUACUCACACAUAGACACGUUUGAAGCCUGAUAUGAUUCCCUUUCCUGGCAUCGUUUCCUCCUGAAUUCGGCAGCAUGUAGGAUUCUGUGAUUCCAGCCUUUAAGACGAGGUCUUUAUUUAAUUUAAAAAAAAUAAGCGAAUUCCAGAAGAGCCACAAUAAUAGCACAGGUCACUUGUUACCUCACCAUCUAACUCAGUUUCAUCUCUUAACAUCUGUACCUUUGAGAACAUAUACCCACUGGUUAUACCCAAGUAUCGUCCACCUCAGACAAUACCAGCUUCCUGGGAAAUGGAACAGUUUCUCAGUGAACUCUGUUCACUCAAGAAGCUCCUUUAACCUUUUCCUAGAUUCCUCCCCCCACCUGAGUUCUGUCCUCUUUUAAGAAAACUGUUUUGUGCUUAGUGAUGAAGGGCAGAAUGAACCUAAUCCCAAAGUCCCCCUUUGAUGCCAUUAACAGGCUGCAGGUGUGACAGUAACAUAGUCAAGAGGGUCUGAGCUGCCUGGUUCCAUCAUCUCACACUGCCCUCUGUUCUCUCUCUCUUUUUCUUAAGUCUGCCAAAUUCCUGGGAUGUCCUGAUGUCCCUUUUUAGGCUGCCCCCACCAUGGUAUGUCCAGUAUGUGCUGGAUUCUGGCCAUAUAGUUAAUGCAUGGUAGAUGCCAACAAUACUCUGGGAACAAAAUUAACAACUUCCCUGAAGCUCAGGAAGCCGAAUCCUCAGGACUGCACAGAAAAGCCUGUGACUUACUCAGGUCCUAACUUGGAAAAGUCACUUUCUCCUCCACAAGGCACUUUGGAGAAGAUCAUGUAGCCAGAGCACGUAACACAGAGGUUGUCAAAAUCAGAAUUCAAAGGCUAGGGAAGUGUUGCACGCAAGAAGUGGCCGAACAACCAACCCCUCAGUAUACCUAAGCACAAGGGGAAACCCACAGGUCAGUCGUGCACGUGCCCAGGUUCCACCCAGAGACCUCCUGCUCAGAACCUAGAGCGGCCACAUCAAAAGACACCAACCUAAAACAUCCUCUCUGUCUUGCUGAUGGUUCAGAAGGGUUGGCAAGAGCUCAUUUAAGAAUACAAAAAAUGUAAAAAACCAAAACCAAUCUUUUCUUUUUCCCAAGUUACAAUAAAGCUUUUGAAGCACA